CCUACGGGGGGCAGCAGUGGGGAAUAUUGGGCAAUGGGCGCAAGCCUGACCCAGCAAUGCCGCGUGAAGGAAGAAGGCUUUCGGGUUGUAAACUUCUUUGACAGGGGAAGAGCAGAAGACGGUACCCUGAAAACAAGCCACGGCUAACUACGUGCCAGCAGCCGCGGUAAUACGUAGGUGGCAAGCGUUGUACGGAUUUACUGGGUGUAAAGGGCGUGUAGCCGGGAAGGCAAGUCAGAUUUGAAAUCUGGAGGCUCAACAUCCAAAUUGCAUUGGAAACUGUUUUUCUUGAGUACUGGUGAGGCAGACGGAAUUCCUUGGGUAGCGGUGAAAUGCGUAGAUAUAAGGAGGAACACCAGUGGCGAAGGCGGUCUGCUGGACAGCAACUGACGGUGAGGCGCGAAAGCGUGGGGAGCAAACAGGAUUAGAUACCCUAGUAGUC
RNAcentral lists this ribosomal RNA (442 nucleotides) under uncultured bacterium. RNAcentral's name for it is "partial 16S ribosomal RNA". It matches the Rfam family "Bacterial small subunit ribosomal RNA", at positions 338 to 795 of the family's 1533-position model. The record is from RNAcentral.